AGCUUUGUGCAGUGGCAGUAUUGUAGGCAAUGAGGUUUAUCCGAGGUUCAAUUAUUGCUAAUUGAAAACUUUUCCCAAUACCCCGCCAUUAUGACUUGAAAUAUAGUCUGCAAAAUUUAAAAUAAAAUAAA
This 131-nucleotide small nuclear RNA is filed under the name Salvator merianae (Argentine black and white tegu). RNAcentral describes it as "U4 spliceosomal RNA (ENSSMRG00000010444.1)". It matches the Rfam family "U4 spliceosomal RNA". From Rfam's summary of the family: U4 small nuclear RNA (U4 snRNA) is a component of the major U2-dependent spliceosome. The structure of U4 snRNA from yeast and human has been reported. The record is from Rfam by way of RNAcentral. Lineage: Eukaryota; Metazoa; Chordata; Lepidosauria; Squamata; Teiidae.